This 253-nucleotide ribosomal RNA is filed under the name uncultured bacterium. Its description in RNAcentral is "partial 16S ribosomal RNA". It matches the Rfam family "Bacterial small subunit ribosomal RNA", at positions 524 to 776 of the family's 1533-position model. The record is from RNAcentral.
UACGUAGGGUGCAAGCGUUGCCCGGAUUUAUUGGGCGUAAAGGGCGCGUAGGCGGAUGGCACAGUCAGAUGUGAAAUUCCCGGGCUUAACCUGGGGGCUGCAUUUGAUACGUGUUGUCUAGAGUGAGGAAGAGGGUUGUGGAAUUCCCAGUGUAGAGGUGAAAUUCGUAGAUAUUGGGAAGAACACCGGUGGCGAAGGCGGCAACCUGGUCCUUGACUGACGCUGAGGCGCGAAAGCGUGGGGAGCAAACAGG